GACCUACGGGAGGCAGCAGUAGGGAAUAUUGCUCAAUGGGGGAAACCCUGAAGCAGCAACGCCGCGUGGAGGAUGAAGGUUUUGGGAUUGUAAACCCGUUUUGUUAGAGAAGAUAAUGACGGUAUCUAACGAAUAAGUACCGGCUAAUUCCGCGCCAGCAGCCGCGGUAAUACGGAGGGUGCAAGCGUUACUCGGAAUCACUGGGCGUAAAGAGCGCGUAGGAGGGAUAGCAAGU
Molecule: ribosomal RNA, 235 nt
Filed under: uncultured bacterium
Lineage: Bacteria
Description: partial 16S ribosomal RNA
Rfam family: Bacterial small subunit ribosomal RNA
Source: RNAcentral